RNAcentral lists this ribosomal RNA (443 nucleotides) under uncultured bacterium. Its description in RNAcentral is "partial 16S ribosomal RNA". It matches the Rfam family "Bacterial small subunit ribosomal RNA", at positions 36 to 507 of the family's 1533-position model. The record is from RNAcentral.
UCUUCCCUCUUUCUUCAUGCCUAACACAUGCAAGUCGAUCGGUAAGGCUCUUCGGAGUACCCGAGAGGCGGACGGCUGCGUGACGCGUAGGAACACACCCUGCAGUGAGGGAUCAGACACCGAAAGGUGUUCUAAUACCGCAUACGGUCUUCGGAUUAAAGCAUUUCUGCGCUGAAGGAGUGGCCUGCGUCAUAUUAGAUAGUUGGUGAGGUAAUGGCUCACCAAGUCGAUGAUGUGUAGCUGGUCUGAGAGGAUGAUCAGCCAGACUGGAACUGAGACACGGUCCAGACUCCUACGGGAGGCAGCAGUGAGGAAUAUGUCACAAUGAGCGAAAGCUUGAUGGAGCAAUGCCGCGUGCAGGAUGAAGGCCCUCGGGUUGUAAACUGCUUUUAUAAGAGAAGAUUAUGACGGUAACUUAUGAAUAAGGGACGGCUAACUACGUG